Molecule: ribosomal RNA, 253 nt
Filed under: uncultured bacterium
Lineage: Bacteria
Description: partial 16S ribosomal RNA
Rfam family: Bacterial small subunit ribosomal RNA
Source: RNAcentral
UACGUAGGUGACCAGCGUUGUCCGGAUUUACUGGGCGUAAAGAGCGCGCAGGCGGUCGUUCAAGUCGAGUGUGAAAGCCCCCGGCUCAACUGGGGAGGGUCACUCGAUACUGAUCGACUUGAAGGCAGGAGAGGGAAGCUGAAUUCCCGGUGUAGUGGUGAAAUGCGUAGAUAUCGGGAGGAACACCAGUGGCGAAGGCGGCUUCCUGGCCUGUUCUUGACGCUGAGGCGCGAAAGCUAGGGGAGCAAACGGG